This is a non-coding RNA of Malus domestica (apple), 496 nucleotides long. NCBI's taxonomy places the organism in Eukaryota, Viridiplantae, Streptophyta, Magnoliopsida, Rosales, Rosaceae. The record is from RefSeq and is a predicted model, not a curated record.
UUGUCCACGCUGCCCACGCGUCGAUCAUCGUCGACUGCUCCGCUUCCACCAUCUCGAAUUUUCCUUCGGUUUCGACUUCUUUCUCUCACAAAGCUGGACUUUUCAUUUUCUUCCGGUAGUCCUCCAUUUGGUACACGAACUCCUGUUCUCUCUCCCUAUUUUGCACGAACCAGAACAUAUGUUGUCUAUCCCGUUCCGAUUCAAAUAAAUUCCUGAAGGGGCUUAGAUUUCGUGUCCAAUUCCACUCUGCCAUACCCAGGAAAGCUUGGCUUCCGUUCUGAUUUGAAGAAAUUUUAAACCCAGAAAGCUUGGGUUUCCAGUCCCGACAAAAGUACUUGGAGACUUGCAGCAGAUGCAAACUCUCUUCUUAUCUAAAACUGUUUACUAUCAGGUCUUUCUUGUGUCACAUGGGUAUCAUGGAUUGCUCAAAAAUGUCUCAAAGACGUAAAGAGAUUUAUUAUGUAGCUCCGACUAUGCGGACUACGAAGCUAGCAAA